RNAcentral lists this ribosomal RNA (334 nucleotides) under uncultured bacterium. RNAcentral describes it as "bacterial SSU rRNA". It matches the Rfam family "Bacterial small subunit ribosomal RNA", at positions 29 to 353 of the family's 1533-position model. The record is from RNAcentral.
AAUCAACGCUGGCGGCGUGCCUAACACAUGCAAGUCGAGCGCGAAAGCGGGGCAACCCGCAAGUAGAGCGGCGAACGGGUGAGUAACGCGUGGGUGAUCUACCUCCGAGUGGGGAACAACAUCGGGAAACUGGUGCUAAUACCGCAUGACAUCCUCAGGUCACACUGAGGAUCAAAGCCGGGGACCGUAAGGCCUGGCGCUUGGAGAGGAGCCCGCGUCCGAUUAGCAGUUGGCGGGGUACGGCCCACCAAGGCGACGAUCGGUAGCCGGCCUGAGAGGGGCGGACGGCCACACUGGGACUGCGACACGGCCCAGACUCCUACGGGAGGCAGCA